Molecule: long non-coding RNA, 1811 nt
Filed under: Homo sapiens (human)
Lineage: Eukaryota; Metazoa; Chordata; Mammalia; Primates; Hominidae
Description: PREDICTED lncRNA (TCONS_00228833)
Source: RNAcentral
CUUAUGGUGAGAGCAGCGGCCCUGGUGGAAGCGUGGUAGCCCCUAGAAGGUCCAGGAUGGAACACAGAAGCUUUCCCUUGGGAUAUGUGAGUGCUCCAGCAGUUGUAAAGAGAGCUCUGAACAUAUGUGAGUGAGGAGAGCAAUUGAGGCCUUUGGAAUGAGUACACAUCCAGGAGUGAAGAAGACAAGCUCAACUGCCAUUCUCUGAGCAGUUCAAGGCAUACUGAGUUGCGGGAGUUGUGUGGUGGUCCACUCUGACUGCAAGCACCCCUUUCUUGAACCGAACAGAGUCAAGUGGAAUCAAAGGACAUUACCUGUUGAUUCUUGGGCAAGGCCCAGAAUUUGGUGGACAUACUUAAAGAAGAAAGGAAUCUUCAGCUAAAGUGUCUACGAUCAAUUCAGAUUUGGAGGGCAUGGAUCUUCUGACAGUAGGGGCCAUUCUAGGAUUUUUUGGUUGAAGAGAUGAACUUCAACUUGGUUCCAGAUGGGUGGUCCAGCUAUUCUGCUGACAACAUUUUUCAGGGCAAGGCUUUUGCUACUGGAAUGAUUUAAGGAAGAUCCCUCAGUGUUUCAGAGUAAAGAUAUUUCUAAAGAAGUACCUGUGUCAUUGCCCAUCUUGAAGAUUGACUUUUAUGGAUUGCUCAAAUACUGAUAUCAGCUCAAUGUCAAUAUAUACUCCUACAUAUAAAAUCCAUCUUCUAAUCAUAAUCACUAGGUUUUAACCAUUUAAGGCCAUGAGGUGUGAGGUCUUUUGAGAGUGAAAGAACUCAUAUUAAUCCAGCUCCUGACUCCUAAAAAAACAGUAACUCUUGUAAUUAAAAUGGGCAGAGUCCAUCAAGAAGCAGUGUCCAGAAGCACUGGGCCAUGUGGCGAGCAGCAGUGUCACCAGGAAACAUGCCGAGCUGGGUCAGGAACUGCGCAAGGAGGAGGAGACACUGCUCCUGUUGAAGGCAGCCCUCGCAUGACCUGCUGAAUCACAUCAAGGUUGAAGCAUUGGCCCUCCAAUCAAUGAUUAGUUCUGGGAGAGGGGAUGAGGUGCUGUCUUCUCCAACUUCUCCAACUGUGCCUGAACAGUCACACGUCAUGUCAGUGCAUAUAGAGAAUGAAGCAUCAGUCAACCAAACUACGCUGGAGUGGAGCAUAGAGUCCUGUGACAGAAGAGGAGGAGGAAGAGAAAGAAGAAUCAGAUCCCUAAAGGAGGGAAAAAGCCAGGAUUCAUUAUACAAAUUAAAUUUCUAAGUCUCAGGCUCUUUCUCCCCAAGGAAAUCAUCUUGCCAUGAGCCCUAGGGCCUGCUUGAAUGGAGAGCAAGAACUAUAGGAGGAUGUGUAGCUGCAAAAAUUUCUCAUCAAUAACUCAAUCUUCAGAACGUUAUGACAUACAGAAAAUCAAAGAUGCUGUGUCUUAGCAUUGAGCAAUAUGGGUGGUGCUAUGUCUGUAGUCUGGUCAAAUUCAGUAACUGUGUUCAAAACAAAAUUUCCUCUGGAAUACUAUUGAGAAAAUCUGGCAUUUGCAAAAAGGGCAGAGUUUAAAUAUGAGCCAGUCUUUCCAAUCAACAAUACCUCUUUUAAGAAAACCAACUAACAGCUGUUUGCAUGCCGUUGAAUCCUUGUGAGCAGUUAGGCCACAGUCUAGGACAGAAAGAUGACACGGGGAAGGACUGAGGGCCAUCUGAGAACAAAAGUUGUUGCUACUUCUCAGAGGCAUUGAGACACACUGCAUGCUGUAGACUGCUUUGUGUAACUGUUGUCACAUCUUGCUUGAGAUGUCAUUGGCAGAAUGUUCUUAAAAAUAAAUUAUAGAUAAAUAGCCA